AGAGUUUGAUCCUGGCUCAGGACGAACGCUGGCGGCGUGCUUAACACAUGCAAGUCGAGCGGUAAGGCCCUUCGGGGUACACGAGCGGCGAACGGGUGAGUAACACGUGGGUAACCUGCCCUGUACUCUGGGAUAAGCCUUGGAAACGAGGUCUAAUACCGGAUACGACCCUUGAAGGCAUCUUUGAGGGUGGAAAGUUCCGGCGGUAUGGGAUGGACCCGCGGCCUAUCAGCUUGUUGGUGGGGUAAUGGCCUACCAAGGCGACGACGGGUAGCCGGCCUGAGAGGGUGACCGGCCACACUGGGACUGAGACACGGCCCAGACUCCUACGGGAGGCAGCAGUGGGGAAUAUUGCACAAUGGGCGAAAGCCUGAUGCAGCGACGCCGCGUGAGGGAUGACGGCCUUCGGGUUGUAAACCUCUUUCAGCAGGGACGAAGCGCAAGUGACGGUACCUGCAGAAGAAGCACCGGCUAACUACGUGCCAGCAGCCGCGGUAAUACGUAGGGUGCGAGCGUUGUCCGGAAUUAUUGGGCGUAAAGAGCUCGUAGGCGGUUUGUCGCGUCGGCCGUGAAAACUUGGGGCUUAACCCCGAGCCUGCGGUCGAUACGGGCAGACUUGAGUUCGGCAGGGGAGACUGGAAUUCCUGGUGUAGCGGUGAAAUGCGCAGAUAUCAGGAGGAACACCGGUGGCGAAGGCGGGUCUCUGGGCCGAUACUGACGCUGAGGAGCGAAAGCGUGGGGAGCGAACAGGAUUAGAUACCCUGGUAGUCCACGCCGUAAACGGUGGGUGCUAGGUGUGGGGGACUUCCA
RNAcentral lists this ribosomal RNA (810 nucleotides) under Lentzea aerocolonigenes. RNAcentral's name for it is "bacterial SSU rRNA". It matches the Rfam family "Bacterial small subunit ribosomal RNA", at positions 8 to 835 of the family's 1533-position model. The record is from RNAcentral. Lineage: Bacteria; Bacillati; Actinomycetota; Actinomycetes; Pseudonocardiales; Pseudonocardiaceae.